GGGGGCGAUUGGCUUCGACGGUUGGCGGGCGGUUCGUUAAGCAUACCGACGGGGUAACCAUGCGUCAAUUGGUUACAACAAAUUAAAUGCAGAUAAAAAUGCAACUUCCUUUGCUUUGGCUGCCUAAGUGCGGUUAAGCAUCGGCCGACGACGCGUUUUCACUCUUUCCAACGAUCGUCUGCAAACAAAGGGUCAACGACGCAACGCAACCAUGGCAUGACGGUGGCGUUACGCGGCAACAAAAGUCGGCCUUGGUCAUAACAAUUUGUCGUUAGGUUGGUGAUCAAUUUUUGAUAACGACUAUGUAUGUAGAAGAACGAACAAGAUUCCAAGCGGACCCGGGUUCAAUCCCCGGCGUCUCCACCA
RNAcentral lists this transfer-messenger RNA (366 nucleotides) under Clostridia bacterium. It matches the Rfam family "transfer-messenger RNA". Rfam says of the family: Bacterial tmRNA, also known as 10Sa RNA or SsrA, is named for its dual tRNA and mRNA-like properties. The record is from RNAcentral. Lineage: Bacteria; Bacillati; Bacillota; Clostridia. RNAcentral also lists the same sequence under 1 other name.